GCCACCAUGGCACAGUGGUUUGAGUAUUAGACUAUGACUGUAGAGAUUAGGGUUUGAAUCCCAGCUUGGCCAUG
Molecule: non-coding RNA, 74 nt
Organism: Phrynosoma platyrhinos (Desert horned lizard)
Lineage: Eukaryota; Metazoa; Chordata; Lepidosauria; Squamata; Phrynosomatidae
Source: the annotation of a GenBank genome assembly